RNAcentral lists this long non-coding RNA (546 nucleotides) under Mus spicilegus (steppe mouse). RNAcentral's name for it is "lncRNA (ENSMSIG00000031636.1)". The record is from RNAcentral. Lineage: Eukaryota; Metazoa; Chordata; Mammalia; Rodentia; Muridae.
CGCACACUGGCUGGGUGAAUCUAGGCAGGCAGAACAUGGUGGUGCCCCCUGUCAACCUAUCUGGUGUCACCAGCCAGCCACUCCGAGGCUCCAGCUCCAGAGGGCAGUGAAGGAGGAAGACACGGGAGCAAGACUACCCUGAAGGGCUCACCAGCGGUCUCAAUCCUGAAACAGACCCGGGUCUCUUCUUCCCACCUGCCGAGCAGCAUGUGAGCAGCAUGACUGGCCAGCUGCAGGAGAAGCCCCCAGAGCCAGGACCGCGACACAGCCACCUGCUGCCAAGGUCAAGGUGUGAAGGACUUUCCCCCACCACGGUGGUGUCUGGUCCGUACCUCCGCCUGGGUGAGGAUGUAGGCACCUCGGCUCUGCUGAUGACCUGUUCAAGCCAACAGGGACCCUUGUCUCCAGCCACCCUCACAGACAUGUCAGCCGUGGAGUAGGGUGGACGCUUUCUCUCAUCUUCUCAGGGUUUCAGGAUUUUUCUUCUUUAUUUUUUUCUUUUUUUUUUUUUUCUUGGUUUUUGUUUUUUGUUUUGUGGCUGAACAC